RNAcentral lists this ribosomal RNA (132 nucleotides) under Klebsiella pneumoniae. RNAcentral describes it as "partial 23S ribosomal RNA". It matches the Rfam family "Bacterial large subunit ribosomal RNA", at positions 2799 to 2925 of the family's 2925-position model. Lineage: Bacteria; Pseudomonadati; Pseudomonadota; Gammaproteobacteria; Enterobacterales; Enterobacteriaceae. RNAcentral also lists the same sequence under 3 other names. The record is from RNAcentral.
CCGAGAUGAGUUCUCCCUGAGACUUUAAGUCUCCUGAAGGAACGUUGAAGACGACGACGUUGAUAGGCCGGGUGUGUAAGCGCAGCGAUGCGUUGAGCUAACCGGUACUAAUGAACCGUGAGGCUUAACCUU